AUAUUGACACUUCAUUUCAGCAAAUGGAUAUGAAAUUCAACACCCAAAAUAUUCACAAGUCGAUAAUUGAUUUUGGACUAAGAUAGUUUGGUGCAAUAUAAUGGACAUUAAGAAAGAGGUUUCUCAUGAAAAUAAAGUACACAAUGGUGAGAAGUUUGAAAAAGAUCAAAACAUAUCUUGCAGGUUUGAAAAAUGUUUGGUCUGCAAAGGGAAGCACCCUCAAAUUGAUUCUCAAAAAUCUAACAAGCCACCAAGAGCAAGGAAUGACAAAAGCUCCUGGAAAUCCAAAAUCUCGGUCAGCCUCAAAUGUCAAUGCAUACUUAAUACAUGUGAUGCCAUUAAGCUUGUUCUGGAUACGUUUCCCAUGAUUCAGGUACACUCCUUGACGCAGCUUUCCUUUCCCCGUACCUAUCCAAAUGGAAGAAGGAACAGAAGCAAGUCUAUUGUAAGUGAUAGCAAAAACUAGUUGUCAUAGUUAUACAUAUAUCAAGUUAGCUCACAUGAGUCAUUGAGACUAUAUAAUUGAAUACAAAUAGGUUUUGCAAGGCCUGAUUUUGCAUGAGUAUGUUGUAUAAUGAUUUCUCCUUUAAUGGACUCCACAUGUUUCGUGCUUUCAGACAGUUGAGCCUUGA
Molecule: long non-coding RNA, 632 nt
Organism: Solanum pennellii
Lineage: Eukaryota; Viridiplantae; Streptophyta; Magnoliopsida; Solanales; Solanaceae
Exons: 2
Source: RefSeq, a predicted model, not a curated record